RNAcentral lists this transfer RNA (75 nucleotides) under Montagnia macrospora. Its description in RNAcentral is "tRNA-Met". It matches the Rfam family "tRNA". From Rfam's summary of the family: Transfer RNA (tRNA) molecules are approximately 80 nucleotides in length. Their secondary structure includes four short double-helical elements and three loops (D, anti-codon, and T loops). Lineage: Eukaryota; Rhodophyta; Florideophyceae; Batrachospermales; Batrachospermaceae. The record is from RNAcentral.
GUGGGGUAGUUCAAUUUGGUUAGAACAAUAGAAUCAUAAUCUAUAUGGUGUAGGUUCAAGUCCUACCCUCACUAG